AAAAAAAAAAAAAAAAAAAUUGUCGUUCAUUUAAUGUAUUAUUAUUCUAAUUCUAUAAUAAUGAUAAUUAACGUCGUGUUUCCAAUAUAAUUAUAAUAAUCAUCGCUGUAGGCUUAUCAUUAUAAACGCGUUUCACUAAAUCGUGCCAGUCUUUUUCUUAUAUUAUAAUAUAGUAUAAUAUUAUAUAUUAUUCUAAAAAGCUUUUUUUGAAAAAUCGAGAAUUUCACGAUUUCUAAUAACAAUAAUUCAUCGUUAUAAUAUUCUCAUGUUAUAUCUAUAUACGGUAAAUUUAUUUCAUGGAAAAAAAAAAUAAAAAACUUGAACGAAUGGCCUAAUAAAAAAAAAAAAAACGUCUCGCGUGUUAUACAUCGGAAGAGAGUUAUUAUUAAAACUAAACAAUAUAAUAUUAUUAAUUAUUAUUAUAUUAUAUAUUAUUAUCAAUGUAAAACACAUUUUGUUAUCAUCGUUACUAGCGGUUUUGUAUAGUCUUUGUAACUAAAAUAAAAUUAUAUUUCUCAGUGUAUUUGUUCGUUUUUUUUUUUUUUUUUUUAUUAAAAAAUCAUUAAAAAUGUUUUAUUACACUGAUAUUAUUAUAAUAUUAUUCUUGAAUUGUUUACCAUCAUCUCAUAUUUAUUAUAUAUUAUUGAUUGAUUAUUAUUAUUAUUAUUAUUAUUAUUAUUAUUAUAGUAUACUUAUUAUUAUACAAUCAUAUAUUUCGUUGAUUAUUUUGUUUGUUUUUUUAUGUCAAACCAAAAUGUUUUGAGUUUAUUUGUACGGUUAUUAUUAUUAUAUUAUGUUUGUUUGUUUGUAAUAAUCUCUAUAUCGUAAUAUUAUAAUAUAUUAUGACAAAUCGCCACUCGCGUUUUAAUAAUAAUAUAUAAUAUUGCAGGCCAUUAAUAACAAUAUUAUACAAUGUUUAAAGGCCGUAAAAUAUUAUCUAUAGAUAAUAUUUACAAAGAAAUAUGAAAUGAAAUCCGUAAAGUUAUUGUAUAAAUUGAAAAAAAAAAAUACAAAACGGUGUGUGUACACAAAUACACACACACACACACAAUAUUAUAUAAUAUAUAUAUAUAUAGAUUUGCUCAUAGUAUUUGUUAACUCUUGUGUAGUCGAUAAAUUAAUAAUAUUAUAUUAUAUUUAAUUUCAAGCAAUUUGUAC
This is a non-coding RNA of Cinara cedri, 1158 nucleotides long. NCBI's taxonomy places the organism in Eukaryota, Metazoa, Arthropoda, Insecta, Hemiptera, Aphididae. The record is from the annotation of a GenBank genome assembly.